This 1027-nucleotide unclassified non-coding RNA is filed under the name Hevea brasiliensis (rubber tree). The record is from RNAcentral. Lineage: Eukaryota; Viridiplantae; Streptophyta; Magnoliopsida; Malpighiales; Euphorbiaceae.
UUUUUUAUUUUUUUUUUUUACUUUUUUUUUUCUAUUUCUCUCUGGAUUUCUGGGUUUCUGGGUUAACUCUCUGAUUGGUGGCUCUUCUUUUACCUAAAUGGACUCUGGAUUGAUUCUGAUGAUUUUUCACUUUGCUUCUCUUAACCUAUAUAAAAUAAGUUUCUGGGUUUUCGCUUUGGGUUUUGCGAAAAAACUGGGCUAAAUGGAUAAUAGAUUGUGCUGCAUGAGCUUCACAUUGACCACUUCACUUCACAUAUACCUGUCUUGUUAAUGCAAAUUCCUUUUUUGCUUUUUUAAAUUAACAUACACUUGGGCAUAAAUAGAUUGUGUUGGUUAGGAUGUGAAGAUCAAUUAGGUUCGUGUUUUAAGGGAUGAGGAUUUCGCGAAGGAAUUGUUGUGCAAUUUGUUAUUCUAUCUUGUUAUGUUGGUUGAAUCUUCUACUUGUAUUAUUUACUGUUGCUUCCUUCUAGCUGAAUUAAGUAUUCUAGAGGAAGAGAUAUUAGAUGGAAGUAUUCUGUAUUUUGAAUUAUGUACUUCAGACUGUAAUUUUAUUUAAUAUUUAUUUUUCUUAUUAUAAUUUAUAAAUUAUAAUUUUUAAUGAUCAUGUUUAUUUAAAUUUUUAAAGAUUAUCAUUGUUUAUUUAAUUUUUCAAAGAUGAUCUUUCAAUAUUUAAAUUUUAGUGGUGUGAUGGAUUAUUGUUUUUCAGUUCAGUUCACUCGAAUUAGUCUACAAAAGCUUAUUCCUUUAGUUUAGGGAGUGGUAUUGCUAGGUGGCAUCAAUGAGAUCAAAAGAAUCAUUAUUUAGCAAAUAUGCAUUCGUCACCUGGCCGACCAACCUAAUAACUUUCUACAUCGGGUUGGGUCAGUUUUCUCGACAUUCUCAAAUUAAUUUGUUAAAGAUGGUUGAGGUCGGUUUGGAUUAAAUUUUCAUCCAAACCUACUUGUCAACAGCCCUAAUAACAAGUAACAAACAUGGAACAGCUAAUUUAAAUCAUAUGCGUAUGAUCAAUUAAGAAAGUUGAGAAACG